RNAcentral lists this ribosomal RNA (261 nucleotides) under Triticum aestivum (bread wheat). RNAcentral's name for it is "partial small subunit ribosomal RNA". Lineage: Eukaryota; Viridiplantae; Streptophyta; Magnoliopsida; Poales; Poaceae. The record is from RNAcentral.
AUGUUUCAAUUGAAGCUUGUGCACAACAAGAGGGCUCAGAACGACAAGUGGUUCGCAGAAUACCUACCACGCAUUGGUAAUGGUACCGAGGAGACUAAUGAUGAUGGUGAAAUACUCCUACCUGCAAGGAUAUGCGUGCCAAAUAAGACGGAUAAUAAUGGCCUAGAUAGACUCAUUGACAAUAUCUAUGAAACAGGGAAAGCUUCCCCAAAAAGAUCCAAAACACAUCACGUUAAGAGCAAUUUUGUCCACAAGGAAUGA